RNAcentral lists this ribosomal RNA (597 nucleotides) under Triticum aestivum (bread wheat). RNAcentral's name for it is "partial small subunit ribosomal RNA". The record is from RNAcentral. Lineage: Eukaryota; Viridiplantae; Streptophyta; Magnoliopsida; Poales; Poaceae.
AUGGAUCGAGGUUGGAUGAGUCAACCAAGAGCUAGUGCUGCUUACAAAGAUGGUGUCGAACAAUUUCUGUCUUUUGCAUUCCAUGAUGUUCCAGCUGGUGAUAGAAUUCUUUGUCCUUGUGUAAAUUGCCGAAAUAAAGCUAUGCAGAGUUAUGAUGGAGUGAAAACUCAAUUGAGAUGUGAUGGUAUUCUUCAAGGUUACACUAAGUGGGUUUGCCAUGGAGAGGAUUACAGUGAACCAUCAUUUGCAUUUGCUCAUGUAUCAGAUAACAGUGGCAAUUUUUCUAUUCCUGGCAUCCCAAGGAAUGUUGUUGGAGAAGGCAACCAUGGAAGGAUGGAUGACAUGCCAGGACUCUUAAGUGCUGUCUUUGCUAUGGCUAACAGUUGUGAAUCUUUAUCAAGCACAUCUGAUGGUGAAUUAGAUGCGUUGAAUUUGAGAAUAUGGUACCUAAUUCAGUUGAGGAUGAGAAUGCAGAUGCUCAAACAAGGAAGAAACCUAAUACGUAUGCAAGCUUCUUGGAGGAUGCAAACACAGAGUUAUACCCUCGAUGUAAAGCAUUUUCUAAGUUGUCAUUUCUCAUCACCUUGUAUCACAUGA